AUGUCAAGGGACAGCGUGCUGAUCGGCGCCUCCAUGUUCGUGCUCGUCGUGCUCUCCCUCGUCACCUUCUUCUGCUCCAACCGACGGCGAUUGGCGCAGAGCUCGUCGUCGCGGGGCGUAGAAGACAAUCAAGACAUCGAGCUCGGGCACGGCAGGAGUGCCGCUGCGGGACUCGACGAGGCCGUCCUGGCCGCCUACCCGACGACGGUGUACUCGUCGUCCAUCCAGCAUCAGUUGGCGGCUACCAGUGAGCGGACAGUGAAAGAGGGGGAACGCGGGUGUGCGGUGUGCCUGGCGGAGUACGCCGACGGCGACGAGCUGCGGGUUAUGCCCGGCUGCGCGCACACGUUCCACCGGCGGUGCGUCGACCAGUGGCUCCGGCGGCGGCCCAGCUGCCCACUCUGCCGCGCGUCGUCGCAGAGCAGAGCACCACCGGCGCAUGCUAACCGUCACAGCGUCAACAGCAUGCCGAUGUAG
RNAcentral lists this ribosomal RNA (477 nucleotides) under Triticum aestivum (bread wheat). Its description in RNAcentral is "partial small subunit ribosomal RNA". Lineage: Eukaryota; Viridiplantae; Streptophyta; Magnoliopsida; Poales; Poaceae. The record is from RNAcentral.